GGAAGUGGACAGGUCCUGGUGGGCCUCCUGGACUUCAAAUCCAGUGGUCCUGCGGAGAGUGGGACGGUGGGUUCGAUUCCCAUGCACUUCCGCCA
This 95-nucleotide transfer RNA is filed under the name Pseudomonadota bacterium. Its description in RNAcentral is "Proteobacteria bacterium (marine sediment metagenome) tRNA-Sec". It matches the Rfam family "Selenocysteine transfer RNA". The record is from RNAcentral. Lineage: Bacteria; Pseudomonadati; Pseudomonadota. RNAcentral also lists the same sequence under 1 other name.